UUUGUGUGUAUAUAAUAAAACCUUGGGUGGCGAGUAACUUGUUCUUCGAAUGUUGCACAAGACGAGCAAACGUUUCUAAUAAAUUUUAACUUGAUAAACGAGUGAUGUUUUGCAAUACGAGUAGUACGUGACGCCCAAUGUCACAUG
Herpailurus yagouaroundi (jaguarundi) is the source of this 147-nucleotide long non-coding RNA. RefSeq lists it as uncharacterized. The transcript is spliced from 3 exons. The record is from RefSeq and is a predicted model, not a curated record. NCBI's taxonomy places the organism in Eukaryota, Metazoa, Chordata, Mammalia, Carnivora, Felidae.